GUGCUCACUUUGGCAGCACAUAUACUAAAAUUGGAAUAAUACAGAAAAGACUAGCAUGACCCUUAUGCAAGGUUGACUUGGAAAAAAAAAGACUCAAAAGGAAUAA
This is a small nuclear RNA of Artibeus jamaicensis (Jamaican fruit-eating bat), 106 nucleotides long. The record is from RefSeq and is a predicted model, not a curated record. NCBI's taxonomy places the organism in Eukaryota, Metazoa, Chordata, Mammalia, Chiroptera, Phyllostomidae.